UGGGGAAUUUUGCACAAUGGGGGAAACCCUGAUGCAGCGACGCCGCGUGAUUUAGAAGGCCUUCGGGUUGUAAAAAUCUUUUCUAUGGGAAGAAAAUGACAGUACCAUAGGAAUAAGGACCGGCUAAUUACGUGCCAGCAGCCGCGGUAAUACGUAAGGUCCGAGCGUUGUCCGGAAUCAUUGGGCGUAAAGGGUACGUAGGCGGGUAAGCAAGUUAGCAGUGAAAUCCUAUAGCUCAACUAUAGUAAGCUUUUAAAACUGCUCAUCUUGAGGUAUGGAAGGGAAAGUGGAAUUCCUAGUGUAGCGGUGAAAUGCGCAGAUAUUAGGAGGAAUAACGGUGGCGAAGGCGACUUUCUGGCCAUAACCUGACGCUGAGGUACGAAAGCGUGGGUAGCAAACAGG
Molecule: ribosomal RNA, 402 nt
Filed under: bacterium
Lineage: Bacteria
Description: partial 16S ribosomal RNA
Rfam family: Bacterial small subunit ribosomal RNA
Source: RNAcentral